GCAAGUUACAGUAGCAGUCAAGUCUGAGAGCGUGCACUGGUGCUGCGCUUUACCGCAUCCACAACCCCACAGAACCGCACCAGGGCCUGGGUGGCAACUACCCAGGC
Molecule: long non-coding RNA, 107 nt
Organism: Thalassophryne amazonica
Lineage: Eukaryota; Metazoa; Chordata; Actinopteri; Batrachoidiformes; Batrachoididae
Exons: 3
Source: RefSeq, a predicted model, not a curated record